GGAUGGGAGGGCAAUCUGGCUGUGACCUCUGUCACUCCCUUGAUCGCCAGGGUUGAUUCGGCUGAUCUGGCUGUCUAGGUGGCGGUCCCCUUCCUCCCUCCCUCACCGCUCUGUGUGCAUCUCUCCCAAAGCUGCACACUUUCGAAGAGGACGACCUUCCCUGAAACACGUGGACCAUUCUUUGGUCAAGGGUAUACAAGUAGCUGUGCUUCCCUGCUCUGACCUCCAAACGGUCUCUUAAGGAGCCCCUCCAAGUGUCAGCAGAGAGUUGGCAGGUAACAGCAUGGGUUCGGGGUUCAGAUCCUGCUGCACCCCUUACUGGUUGGUGACAUUG
Ailuropoda melanoleuca (giant panda) is the source of this 334-nucleotide non-coding RNA. The record is from Rfam. NCBI's taxonomy places the organism in Eukaryota, Metazoa, Chordata, Mammalia, Carnivora, Ursidae.